RNAcentral lists this transfer RNA (73 nucleotides) under Stegodyphus mimosarum. It matches the Rfam family "tRNA". From Rfam's summary of the family: Transfer RNA (tRNA) molecules are approximately 80 nucleotides in length. Their secondary structure includes four short double-helical elements and three loops (D, anti-codon, and T loops). Lineage: Eukaryota; Metazoa; Arthropoda; Arachnida; Araneae; Eresidae. The record is from Rfam by way of RNAcentral.
GCAUUUGCGGUGUAGCGGUCAGCACGCUCGACGUGUAACCGAGAGGUCCGUGGUUCGAUUCCCGGCGAGGACA